CUUGAAAUACCCGGAUGUAUUGCAAUAUACUGAACAAGACUGGUUACUCGCAUCAAUGCCUCUGUCUCGUCAUUUAACAUUCAAACAUGGUGUCAGAGUCACCUGUUCUGGUUUACCCCCAACAAUGCUUAUUUGAGUAAAACUUCGCCGGACGCCGGAAUUGUCCUUAGCUAGAGUGAGUUUGCUAGUUAGCUUCAGUGUUGUUAGCACCGGUUAGACAUGGCAGCGAACAUUCCCUCUCCCGCCGUUAUGAAGCACAAACUGGGAUACGUUUACAGGUGAAUGGGAGGACUAUGCACUAGCAACGGGACUUCGGGAAAAGGACGAUGAGGUAGUGGCUGCCACUUUGACGACUAUAAUGGGAACUGAAUGCCGACACGUAUACAAACAACCUGAACCUAACAGCAGCUCAGCAAGUUUCCCUGGCACACAAAAGUACUUGUUUCAUUUCAAAUGCUGAGCCGGACAGGAAAAUGGUCCAAUUCACACACUUAUCAAGAGAACAUCCCUGGUCAUCCCUACUGCCUCAGAUCUAGCGGACUCGCUAAACACAUGCUUCAUUUGUAAAUGAUGUCUGAUUGUUGGAGUGUUCCCCUGGUUAUUUCUUAAAUAAAAUAACAGAAUCGUGCUGUCUGGUUUGCUUAAUAUAUGGAAGGUCAAAUAAUUUAUACUUUUACCACUGAUACUUAAGUAUAUUUUAGCAAUGACAUUUACUUAGUAUUUUACUGGGUGACUUUCACUUUUACUUGAGUCAUUUUCUAUUAAAGUCAUCUUAUUAUUGUACCUUUUUCCCUUCAUUUGCCUACUACUGUCUAUAAGCGAUCAUAACAUGUGGGUUUUUUCUUGGGGACCAGGUAUCGGAACGCCUUUUAAGGGUCUACAAAGCAUGCCCCCAGGUAAAAGUUGCCUUUUGCAGACAAGGAUUGUAUUGUUACUCCACGACAUAUGUUAUCACAACUCUAUUAAAAGGACAUUUUACACAAGGCGUCACUUCAUUCCUUCUAUUUGUUGGGAACUAGUCCCUACCGCCCUACACACCAAGGUAGCUCUUUCAUGGCAACAAAAUGCAACAUCA
This 1075-nucleotide long non-coding RNA is filed under the name Salmo salar (Atlantic salmon). Its description in RNAcentral is "lncRNA (ENSSSAG00000111653.1)". Lineage: Eukaryota; Metazoa; Chordata; Actinopteri; Salmoniformes; Salmonidae. The record is from RNAcentral.